RNAcentral lists this transfer RNA (80 nucleotides) under Pseudomonas aeruginosa. Its description in RNAcentral is "tRNA-Ser(gct)". RNAcentral also lists the same sequence under 1 other name. Lineage: Bacteria; Pseudomonadati; Pseudomonadota; Gammaproteobacteria; Pseudomonadales; Pseudomonadaceae. The record is from RNAcentral.
CCACCAGCCUGGCCCAGGUCAAGCGCCGACUGCUGGUCGGCGACCUGCUCGGCCAGGCCUUCAGUGGCCUGUCGCUGGGC